Molecule: long non-coding RNA, 423 nt
Filed under: Mytilus galloprovincialis (Mediterranean mussel)
Lineage: Eukaryota; Metazoa; Mollusca; Bivalvia; Mytilida; Mytilidae
Source: RNAcentral
GGGAUUUAAAUAAGUUUAAAAUUUUUGUUACAAUUUAAAUAGCUGUCAAUUUAUUUAUUUAAGUUGCAGUAUAGAAACAAUAUUAGAUCAAGGUCAGAAAAAUAUCAACUUUUUUGUACAAGGCUGAGAAACUGGGGAAGGGCAAGGUUCUCAUUGACUUAAUAUUGUACAUUAAUAUUCAGAAGGUAGAAAUGUGACCAAGUUUCCAUGGAUAAGUGGCUGCUUGAAAAAUAAGUUUUUUUGCAAAUGCUAAUUUUGAGUGCAUGGAUCAGUGAUCAAUGUUAAAGUUACAUGCAUAUUAUCAAGUCUGUAUCCAAGAUACUUUAAGCAUAAGUUGAACUAUAUUCAGUGUAUUGAAUGAUUGGAAGUUGUCCAUGUCUGUCUGCAAAGGUUCAUAUGACUUUGACCUCAUUUCAAUGGGCG